Molecule: ribosomal RNA, 468 nt
Filed under: uncultured bacterium
Lineage: Bacteria
Description: partial 16S ribosomal RNA
Rfam family: Bacterial small subunit ribosomal RNA
Source: RNAcentral
GACGAACGCUGGCGGCGUGCUUAACACAUGCAAGUCGAACGGAAAGGCCCUGCUUUUGUGGGGUGCUCGAGUGGCGAACGGGUGAGUAACACGUGAGUAACCUGCCCUUGACUUUGGGAUAACUUCAGGAAACUGGGGCUAAUACCGGAUAGGAACUCCUGCUGCAUGGUGGGGGUUGGAAAGUUUCGGCGGUUGGGGAUGGACUCGCGGCUUUUCAGCUUGUUGGUGGGGUAGUGGCUUACCAAGGCUUUGACGGGUAGCCGGCCUGAGAGGGUGACCGGCCACAUUGGGACUGAGAUACGGCCCAGACUCCUACGGGAGGCAGCAGUGGGGAAUAUUGCACAAUGGGCGGAAGCCUGAUGCAGCAACGCCGCGUGCGGGAUGACGGCCUUCGGGUUGUAAACCGCUUUCGCCUGUGACGAAGCGUGAGUGACGGUAAUGGGUAAAGAAGCACCGGCUAACUACGUG